AUCAGUUCUAGUUAUA
Molecule: ribosomal RNA, 16 nt
Filed under: Trichomonas gallinae
Lineage: Eukaryota; Parabasalia; Trichomonadida; Trichomonadidae
Description: partial 18S ribosomal RNA
Source: RNAcentral